GAAUUAUUUUCAUCCAAAUAGACCCACGAAUUCACUGAGUCAGAUCUUUUCUCUUCUUCCCUUCCUCUCCAACAAUUCUUCUUCAUUCCUUUCUUCUCUGUGCACGCUGCGUUCCUCAAAUCCUCUGCGCCGCCGCAGAUCCUCUGCACCGUCGUUCCUCUGCCAUUCCUUUCUUCCCUCCCUCUCCAACAAUUCCCCCGCCGUUCCUUUCUUCUCAGCGCACGAACCAAGUCUCUUCCGCCGCCGUUCCUGAAAUCCUCCGCGCCGCCGUUUUCUCCGCCGCCGGUGUCUUACACCGCUCCUCCGUCUCAGCGCAGUGUUACUACUGUUCCUACCGGAGAUGUCCUUGAUAAUAGCACUUCAGUUAAUUUCAGAAUAGGGCAUUGGAGAUAUCAUCUGAUUUAAAGGGAAGUAGGGAACAUCCAUAUUUCUUAUUGGUGAAUGGUUGUUGGGAGACGUUGACUCAGCACCAAGGUUGGUCUACCAGGUAAAACACUUCUAGCAAAAGCUGUUGCCAGAGAGGCUGAUGUUCCUUUCAUCAGCUGUUCUGCAAGUGAAUUUGUAGAGCUGUAUGUUGGUUUGGGGGCCUCUCGUGUCAGAGAUAUUUUUGCUCGGGCAAAGAAGGAGGCUCCAUCCAUUAUAUUCAUAGAUGAGGUUUGUGAUGGUGGAUUAAAUGAGUCGUACGUUGAGCUGAAGAGGCUUGUGAAUUCACAAGAAAAGUUAUACCAGAUGGCUAGCUAGUUGCAUAUUUAAUAUAUUUAGUAUUUUUGUAAGGCAUAAUAGUAUUAGAUAGAGCAUUUGUUGAAUUUUGACUAUAUUCAAAUAAUGUAUGAAUUCUUUUUUAUGAUAAUAAUAUAUGGAUUUUCAAUA
Salvia miltiorrhiza (redroot sage) is the source of this 870-nucleotide RNA transcript. It is a transcript of the gene named ATP-dependent zinc metalloprotease FTSH, chloroplastic-like, with no coding region annotated. The record is from RefSeq and is a predicted model, not a curated record. The transcript is spliced from 6 exons. Lineage: Eukaryota; Viridiplantae; Streptophyta; Magnoliopsida; Lamiales; Lamiaceae.